This 696-nucleotide ribosomal RNA is filed under the name Triticum aestivum (bread wheat). Its description in RNAcentral is "partial small subunit ribosomal RNA". Lineage: Eukaryota; Viridiplantae; Streptophyta; Magnoliopsida; Poales; Poaceae. The record is from RNAcentral.
AUGUUGGAGGACUGCUUGCCUCAUAUUGAAUUUGCUUUUAAUCGUUCAUUGCAUUCUACUACUAAGAUGUGCCCUUUUGAAGUUGUGUAUGGUUUCCUACCUCGUGCACCUAUUGAUUUGUUGCCUCUUCCAUCUUCGGAGAAGGUUAAUUUUGAUGCUAAACAACGUGCUGAAUUGAUUUUAAAAAUGCAUGAGUUAACCAAGGAAAACAUUGAGCGUAUGAAUGCUAAAUAUAAACUUGCUGGAGAUAAGGGUAGAAAACAUGUUGUGUUUGCACCUGGAGAUCUUGUUUGGUUACAUUUGCGUAAGGAUAGAUUUCCUGAUUUGCGCAAAUCAAAGCUAAUGCCACGUGCUGAUGGUCCCUUUAAGGUGUUAGAGAAAAUAAAUGAUAAUGCAUAUAAACUUGAGCUGCCUGCAGAUUUUGGGGUUAGUCCCACUUUUAACAUUGCAGAUUUGAAGCCUUAUUUGGGUGAGGAAGAUGAACUUCCGUCGAGGACGACUUCAUUUCAAGAAGGGGAGGAUGAUGAGGACAUCAAUACAAUUGUUACACCCACAGCCCCUGCUGCUAUACAUACUGGACCAAUUACUAGAGCUCGUGCACGCCAACUAAAUUACCAGGAAACAGACCCUCGUGGUCAGGUUGAUCGUGCUCCGGCGUGGUCAAUAACCUCUCGGAGUUGGUUUAGCGAUUGCUAA